This is a long non-coding RNA of Perognathus longimembris pacificus (Pacific pocket mouse), 205 nucleotides long. RefSeq lists it as uncharacterized. The transcript has 4 exons. The record is from RefSeq and is a predicted model, not a curated record. Lineage: Eukaryota; Metazoa; Chordata; Mammalia; Rodentia; Heteromyidae.
UUGAGAUUCCACAUCACCCCAUUUAGGAUGGCCAUUAUCCAGAAAACUAAUAGCAACAGUUGCUGGUAGAGAUGUGGCCAAAACUGAACACUACCUAACUGUGGUUGGGAGUGUAAACUUGUUCAACCACUCUGGAAAGCAAUGUGGAGGUUCCUCAAAGAGCUAAACACAGGGCUGGGGAUAUGGCCUAGUGGCAAGAUUGCUU